UGGGGAAUUGUUCGCAAUGGGCGCAAGCCUGACGACGCAACGCCGCGUGGAGGAUGAAGAUCUUCGGGUCGUAAACUCCUGUCGAGCGGGAAGAAUACCUUUCGAGUCAACAGCUCGAGAGGUUGACGGUACCGCGAGAGGAAGCCCCGGCUAACUCCGUGCCAGCAGCCGCGGUAAUACGGGGGGGGCAAGCGUUGUUCGGAAUUACUGGGCGUAAAGGGCUCGUAGGCGGCCGACUAAGUCUGACGUGAAAUCCCCCGGCUCAACUGGGGAACUGCGUCCGAUACUGGUGGGCUUGAGAUCGGGAGAGGGACGUGGAAUUCCAGGUGUAGCGGUGAAAUGCGUAGAUAUCUGGAGGAACACCGGUGGCGAAGGCGGCGUCCUGGACCGACACUGACGCUGAGGAGCGAAAGCCAGGGGAGCAAACGGG
RNAcentral lists this ribosomal RNA (430 nucleotides) under uncultured Acidobacteriota bacterium. RNAcentral describes it as "bacterial SSU rRNA". It matches the Rfam family "Bacterial small subunit ribosomal RNA", at positions 355 to 776 of the family's 1533-position model. Lineage: Bacteria; Pseudomonadati; Acidobacteriota. The record is from RNAcentral.